UACGUAGGGGGCAAGCGUUGUCCGGAAUCAUUGGGCGUAAAGGGCGUGUAGGCGGUUUUUUAAGUCAGAUGUGAAAGUUCGGGGCUCAACCCCGGAAUUGCAUUUGAAACUGGGAGACUUGAGUACUGGAGAGGUAAGUGGAAUUCCUAGUGUAGCGGUGAAAUGCGUAGAUAUUAGGAGGAACACCAGUGGCGAAGGCGACUUACUGGACAGAUACUGACGCUGAGGCGCGAAAGCGUGGGGAGCAAACAGG
Molecule: ribosomal RNA, 253 nt
Filed under: uncultured bacterium
Lineage: Bacteria
Description: partial 16S ribosomal RNA
Rfam family: Bacterial small subunit ribosomal RNA
Source: RNAcentral